This is a non-coding RNA of Pelobates cultripes (western spadefoot toad), 225 nucleotides long. NCBI's taxonomy places the organism in Eukaryota, Metazoa, Chordata, Amphibia, Anura, Pelobatidae. The record is from the annotation of a GenBank genome assembly.
GAGAACACCAUGCACCCCGACUGAGUACCUCCGCCAAUCGCCGCUUCCUAGCUGUCGCUGAAUACCAUAAGCAACGCACACCAUAAGCACCUUGGCCCCUUACCCGCCGCAGCUUGGCUGGGGUCACACCCUGGACCAAACUCUUGGAAUCAGCUCCGAGUGAGAAGACCUCUCCUCCAAGAGAGUAUAGCAGGUUGCUCUUUCAACAGUAAGUGAUUAGAACCC